GUGAGUCAUCGAAUCUUUGAACGCACCUUGCACCUCGUGGCUUACCACGGGGUACGCCCGUUCGAGCGUCACGUUCACAUCGCCUCUGGCGGAACUGGAUGUUGCCGUAGUGGCUCGUCUGAAAUGCAUUAGCGAGGGUGGCCUUGCGCCGGUGUGAUAAUUCUCGCCCAAGCAAGUAAGCCCUGCUCCGAAUCCCGUCGCGUCGACGGAACUUCUAAGUUUGACCUCGAAUCGGGCGGGACUACCCGCUGAACUUAAGCAUAUCAAUAAGCGGAGGA
This 278-nucleotide unclassified non-coding RNA is filed under the name Basidiodendron sp. RNAcentral's name for it is "partial contains 5.8S ribosomal RNA, internal transcribed spacer 2, and large subunit ribosomal RNA". The stretch from base 222 to 278 matches the Rfam family "Eukaryotic large subunit ribosomal RNA", at positions 1 to 57 of the family's 3401-position model. Lineage: Eukaryota; Fungi; Basidiomycota; Agaricomycetes; Auriculariales; Exidiaceae. The record is from RNAcentral.